CUAAUGGACAAUCAAGAAGAAGCUGGAGUAGGUGUUGGUAGAGCUUUAAACUCCAGGAGAAAAAUCCAGAUGAAGAUGGAAAAAGCAGAGGUGGGGAGCUGUUACCAUAUGAAGACUGAGACUGCAUCGAGGUCCUAGGAACACAAACAUGGGAAUGAUGCCCAUCCCCACAGACAAAACAACGGUGGACAAUAAGAUACAGGAACAAGAAAUGGGUGAAGUGGUAAGAGAAAUGUGGAAGGUCACGAUAGAGUAGGGAGCAAAGGAUACAGUAAAGGGAGUUACUCCAGCUAUUAUUGGGCACUUCCAAAUCCAUUCCAUCCCUGUGGAGGAGCCUUGCAGGAGAGUCAGCACAUCUAGAUAUACUUAGGAACAUCCAGAAGUCCCUAUCAAUAUGUAGGAAUGUGCAGGGCAAAGCAGCAGAGAGAUUCUCUGCCAGCUGUUCCUUCUACGUCUGUCUUUGCCCACUACAAAGUACCUACAGUGCCAGGUGGCCUGUAUUCCAGAUGCAAGUUGGUCCUCUGU
Molecule: long non-coding RNA, 525 nt
Organism: Lemur catta (Ring-tailed lemur)
Lineage: Eukaryota; Metazoa; Chordata; Mammalia; Primates; Lemuridae
Exons: 3
Source: RefSeq, a predicted model, not a curated record